This 387-nucleotide ribosomal RNA is filed under the name uncultured bacterium. Its description in RNAcentral is "bacterial SSU rRNA". It matches the Rfam family "Bacterial small subunit ribosomal RNA", at positions 29 to 417 of the family's 1533-position model. The record is from RNAcentral.
AUUGAACGCUGGCGGCAUGCCUUACACAUGCAAGUCGAACGGCAGCACGGGGGCAACCUUGGUGGCGAGUGGCGAACGGGUGAGUAAAGCAUCGGAACGUGCCCUGGAGUGGGGGAUAACGUAGCGAAAGUUACGCUAAUACCGCAUAUUCUGUGAGCAGGAAAGCAGGGGAUCGCAAGACCUUGCGCUCUGGGAGCGGCCGAUGUCGGAUUAGCUAGUUGGUGGGGUAAAGGCCUACCAAGGCGACGAUCCGUAGCGGGUCUGAGAGGAUGAUCCGCCACACUGGGACUGAGACACGGCCCAGACUCCUACGGGAGGCAGCAGUGGGGAAUUUUGGACAAUGGGCGCAAGCCUGAUCCAGCCAUGCCGCGUGAGUGAAGAAGGCCU